Mya arenaria is the source of this 2362-nucleotide long non-coding RNA. RefSeq lists it as uncharacterized. Lineage: Eukaryota; Metazoa; Mollusca; Bivalvia; Myida; Myidae. The record is from RefSeq and is a predicted model, not a curated record. The transcript has 4 exons.
GAAAUGACUACAAAAGGAUGGGUUUUUUUAUUGUAUUUUUAGUUCUGCCUUCUUCGAACGCCAGACAAUGGACAAAGUGGUUGGAGAUGGGGAUGGUGACAGACCAGCCAGCCGAACUCAAAUUGGAUUAGAUAUCAUGUGCCACCUGGUUGCUGAAGCUCGACAGGACCUUUAUGGACAAAAAAUCCUGUUCAAGAUAGUUCUGUCUGGAAUUCCAUACCACCUCCAGAGAAUGGAAAAUGUCUUCAAAUUCUGAUGUGCCAGCAGCCUGAAGUGGUCAAACAAUUUGAAACUGGAUGCAUCACAGAAUCCCAUAUUUCAAGAGAAUGCAGAUGUUAGUCACCCCUGUCAAACUUGUUUGUGUGAAUAAUACAAAAUGUGACAUUUACAGCAAAUAUGUAAUAAUUGAGCAACGUAUAUACAAUUGCAAAACUCUGUUCUGUUAAUUUUGUGCCAUAUUUAGCAUUUAAAACCAGAUACUUUCAGUUUUUGCUGGUUUGUUCGGUUUCUUUUAUUCAUGAUGACACAGUUCGGUGUAUAGUAGUUAUGGUGUUUUAACUGUCAAUGAAUCCAAGAUCACUGUAUGUUGUUGAACUGAUAUAUAUAUGUUAAACAUUGAAGAUCCAGCUGUCAGUACAGAAAACAUUGAUUGUGCUUUAGAGAACACUGAAUUUUAUCAACAUAAUUUGACACUGUACAUAUUGCAAGCAUUUUUUCAUAUCUAUAUAAAUUAAUAGUAGAUAACUUUAGCCUUAUUUUGUGCAUAUUAACAUAUGUGAAUAAUUUAAUAUCCUCAUGAUGUCAUUCUGUAUAAAUUAUAUAAUAUAAUCAUUUUAAUUGUUUCAAUUAUUUUCAUAUAUAAAUGGUUUUGGAACUGAAAUUUGGUCUUGCUCUAUUGGCUGGUACACUCAACAAAUAUAAAAAAAUACAUGAAAUAGUGCUUUAAUAGUGAGCUCAGCUAACAGUUUUUCACUGGGUUCUUAUUUGGGUGUGUUCCAACAAUAUCACUGACUUGAUUACUUUUAUUGGAUAUUCUAUAUAGGUGCUAAAUUUAGAUUAAUUUUUAAUUUUAGCUCUGUUGAAUGUUGAUUGUAAUUGCAAUUUAUCAUUUCUUUUUAGAUCACCCUGUGAGUUAAACAUUAUGUGAGGGUUAGAAAUCAUUUGCUUGUAAUUACACCUUGAUAAGUUUAAUCUUUAAUACACUGGGUCUUGAAAGUCCCAUGAUAUGAACAAUUGGUUUUGACUAUUUUCAUGCUGCAUUUAGAAUAUACCUCAUAAGAGGUCAUUACAUAUUGGGCCUUUAAAAGUUAGAAAAUUUUAACAUUAAUUUAUUCAUACAAUUUUAUUUCCCACCAGAUGUAAAAAACAACAACUUUUUAUCAAAAAGGUCACUGUUGGUGAUCUGUAAAAAAUACAUGUGUUGCUGCAUAUUUAACUGUCACAGGUCUUUUGGUUUAUACCUGAUUUUAGCAAAGCUGUUUACAAUAUUCAUUAAUUGAAAUUUAGAUAAUUUUGAUCAUUAGACAUGAUGUUUGUCAGAUUUGUCAUUGCAAACACAAAUUAUUUUAAAGUUUAUUGAAAGCAUCGUUAAGAUAAUUCUGUAAUUAAAGCAGAAUUGUAUUUGCCCUUAAAAUCUAAACAACACAUUUGUUCAUAAUUAACAUUUUGCAACUUUUUUGGCGGGGGUGUGGUGUAUGUUUUUGUAACAAACAAAUGAGAAUAUAUUCUGUAUUCUCACUGAGAUAUUUUGCAGACAAUUUUCCAGAGCUGCUUGGCUACAUAUUGUUCAUAUACAAUCAUAAUUAUUAGUAAUUGAUUAAAUGUUUUGCCAUGUUUUACCAUCAUAUUUAAAUAGAUUUUUGCCCAUUCAAUUCUAGUUAAAAUUGUAAUUACCCCUGCUUGUAAUAUACUUCAGUGCAACAUUAUUAUUGAUAUGUGAUCAUUUUUAGCUUGACUAUUCGAUGAAUAAGGAGAGCUAUCCUAGUCACCAGAGUGUCAGGGUCAGCAUUACCACUUAUGUUAAAGUUUGCGUACCACCUCAAAUAUUUCAAAUUCAAUUUAUGUAAAUAGCUCAGCACAUCAUGUAUUGCAUUGAAAUCUAAUAUAACAGUGAUCAAUGCAUGUUUCUCCAAAACUUUUCAGUCUAUACACCGAAAAGCGGCGGAAUAGUCGAGCGAGCUGUCUCUGUGACAGCUCUUGUUUUUAUUUAUUUUCUGUUUGUAACAUAUUCCUCAAAUGCGUUUGUGUACUUGAUCUCAAAUGCAUAGUAGCUUUAUUUAAGUUAAUUAGGAAGAAUAACUCUAAACUUCAUAUAAAAUAUAAAGUAAUGCAUUAUAUAUAAUGUAUACACUAUUAUUGAAGA